ACGCACGUUGGCGGCGUGCUUAAUACAUGCAAGUCCACUGAAGCAGUGGUAGCAAUAUCGCUGUGGAGGUGGCGCACGGGUGAGUAACACGUAGGUAAUCUGCCUUCAGGUCUGGCAUAACUCCGGGAAACCGGGGCUAAUAGCAGAUGAUGCAGCGGCUCGACAUCGAGACAGUUGUUAAAGCUAUGGCGCCUGAAGAUGAGCCUGCGUCUGAUUAGCUAGUUGGCGGGGUAACGGCCCACCAAGGCAACGAUCAGUAGCUGGUCUGAGAGGAUGAUCAGCCACACUGGAACUGAGACACGGUCCAGACUCCUACGGGAGGCAGCAGUAAGGAAUAUUGCUCAAUUGGAGAAAUCCUGAAGCAGCAACGCCGCGUGAGGGACGAAGGGCUUUUGCUUGUAAACCUCUGUAGUGAGAGAAAAAAAUCCCAAUCUUUGGGACAUGAUGGUAUCUCAAAAGUAAGCCCCGGCUAACUACGUG
Molecule: ribosomal RNA, 480 nt
Filed under: uncultured bacterium
Lineage: Bacteria
Description: partial 16S ribosomal RNA
Rfam family: Bacterial small subunit ribosomal RNA
Source: RNAcentral